UUGGGAUUGGAGGAGGUUGUGUUGCAGACGCGUGCAGGAUAUAAGCAACUGCUAAUCAACAGACUCUCCUUCCGAGCAGACUUCGCCUUCGCUUCCCUCCUUCCCAUGUCGCCGCGUGUUCCUCCCGCCGCUCACUCAGGAUCCCGAGAUGCCGUGUCAUUCCCUGUCAGCACCGAAAAAGUACAACCAGCUUAUGACAGUGACAGCAGACUCGACCCUUACUCAUCGGGCGUGCAAUAUCAAGCAACGACAAUGCAAUAUGCAACAGCCAAUCCCGUCGUCCUGUCCUGUGCAACCUGCCCCGUUUGCAAGGCCGGUCUUAUGCAGCGAGAAUUUCCUCUCGGUCUCCUCUGCUGUUUUCUGGUGAAGAGGAUCAGAUGUAACAGCUGUGGCAAGGAAUUCUGAAGGUUUAGGAAUGUUUUUGUUGUUGUGAUGAUUGUUUUUGUUAUUGUGAUGAUUGUUUUUGUUAUUGUGAUGAUUGUUAUUGUUAUUGUGAGGAUUGUUAUUGUUAUGGUAUUUUCCUGAAGGUCAUUGUUAUUGUUUUGUUUUUGUUUGUUUUUGACUUUAUUAUUAUUUGUGAUUGUUAGUGUUGGUGAUAUUAUUUUCGUUAUUAGUGUUGAUAUUUUUUUCGUUACUGGAAUUGUUACUAGUCACAUUUUCAUUGAUGUUUAUAUUUGCAUUUCUAUUAUUAUUAACACUAAUGUCAUCAUCAUUAAUAUUGCUGUUAUCAGUAUUUCUAUUUUUGUUGUAAUCAUUAUUAUUAUUAUCAAGGUAAUUGCAAGACAGGUAGCCUAGUCGGUUAAGCCCCGCCUCUUUGCCGUAUUUUUUUGCAAAUACUAAGAGUUUUUUUUUUUCUUGGUUUCUUUUGUACCAUUCUUAUUUCCGAACCAUUUUCCAAGUAAAAAAAA
Penaeus indicus is the source of this 908-nucleotide long non-coding RNA. RefSeq lists it as uncharacterized. The transcript is spliced from 4 exons. Lineage: Eukaryota; Metazoa; Arthropoda; Malacostraca; Decapoda; Penaeidae. The record is from RefSeq and is a predicted model, not a curated record.